RNAcentral lists this ribosomal RNA (324 nucleotides) under uncultured eukaryote. Its description in RNAcentral is "partial 18S ribosomal RNA". It matches the Rfam family "Eukaryotic small subunit ribosomal RNA", at positions 1470 to 1796 of the family's 1831-position model. The record is from RNAcentral.
CCCUUAGAUGUUCUGGGCUGCACGCGCGCUACACUGAAGCUAUCAACACGUUUUCCCUCCCUGAGAAGGGCGGGUAACCUUUUGAAUCAGCUUCGUGGUAGGGAUCGGGGCUUGCAAUUGUUCCCCGUGAACCAGGAAUUCCUAGUAGACGCGAGUCAUAAGCUCGCAUCGAUUAAGUCCCUGCCCUUUGUACACACCGCCCGACGCUACUACCGAUUGAACGUUUUAGUGAGGCAUUUGGACCGACGCAUCUCAGUUUAACCGCUGGUUUGUGUUGGAAAGACUUCCAAACUUGAGCGUUUAGAGGAAGUAAAAGUCGUAACA